AUAGUAGAACAGAAUGCUACGGAGAAUACGUUCCCGGGCCUUGUACACACCGCCCGUCACACCAUGGGAGUGGGUUGCAAAAGAAGUAGGAAGCUUAACCUUCGGGAGGGCGCUUACCACUUUGUGAUUCAUGACUGGGGUGAAGUCGUAACAAGGUAACCGUAGUGGAACCUGCGUUUGGAUCACCUCCUUA
RNAcentral lists this ribosomal RNA (193 nucleotides) under Proteus mirabilis. RNAcentral's name for it is "partial 16S ribosomal RNA". It matches the Rfam family "Bacterial small subunit ribosomal RNA", at positions 1336 to 1533 of the family's 1533-position model. The record is from RNAcentral. Lineage: Bacteria; Pseudomonadati; Pseudomonadota; Gammaproteobacteria; Enterobacterales; Morganellaceae.